This 301-nucleotide ribosomal RNA is filed under the name uncultured bacterium. Its description in RNAcentral is "partial 16S ribosomal RNA". It matches the Rfam family "Bacterial small subunit ribosomal RNA", at positions 509 to 807 of the family's 1533-position model. The record is from RNAcentral.
CAGCCGCCGCGGGAAUACAGAGGGUGCGAGCGUUAAUCGGAUUUACUGGGCGUAAAGCGUGCGUAGGCGGCUUCUUAAGUCGGAUGUGAAAUCCCUGAGCUUAACUUAGGAAUUGCAUUCGAUACUGGGAAGCUAGAGUAUGGGAGAGGAUGGUAGAAUUCCAGGUGUAGCGGUGAAAUGCGUAGAGAUCUGGAGGAAUACCGAUGGCGAAGGCAGUCAUCUGGCCUAAUACUGACGCUGAGGUACGAAAGCAUGGGGAGCAAACAGGAUUAGAUACCCCUGUAGUCCCUGUCUCUUAUAC